Molecule: ribosomal RNA, 632 nt
Filed under: uncultured Gammaproteobacteria bacterium
Lineage: Bacteria; Pseudomonadati; Pseudomonadota; Gammaproteobacteria
Description: partial 16S ribosomal RNA
Rfam family: Bacterial small subunit ribosomal RNA
Source: RNAcentral
GUCGCAUGCUCCCGGCCGCCAUGGCGGCCGCGGGAAUUCGAUUAGAGUUUGAUCCUGGCUCAGAUUGAACGCUGGCGGCAGGCCUAACACAUGCAAGUCGAGCGGUAGAGAGAAGCUUGCUUCUCUUGAGAGCGGCGGACGGGUGAGUAAUGCCUAGGAAUCUGCCUGGUAGUGGGGGAUAACGUUCGGAAACGGACGCUAAUACCGCAUACGUCCUACGGGAGAAAGCAGGGGACCUUCGGGCCUUGCGCUAUCAGAUGAGCCUAGGUCGGAUUAGCUAGUUGGUGGGGUAAUGGCUCACCAAGGCGACGAUCCGUAACUGGUCUGAGAGGAUGAUCAGUCACACUGGAACUGAGACACGGUCCAGACUCCUACGGGAGGCAGCAGUGGGGAAUAUUGGACAAUGGGCGAAAGCCUGAUCCAGCCAUGCCGCGUGUGUGAAGAAGGUCUUCGGAUUGUAAAGCACUUUAAGUUGGGAGGAAGGGCAGUAAAUUAAUACUUUGCUGUUUUGACGUUACCGACAGAAUAAGCACCGGCUAACUCUGUGCCAGCAGCCGCGGUAAUACAAUCACUAGUGAAUUCGCGGCCGCCUGCAGGUCGACCAUAUGGGAGAGCUCCCCACGCGUUGGAUG